GGAGAGGUGACCGAGCGGCUGAAGGUGCACGACUGGAAAUCGUGUGUACCGGGAACGGUACCGUGGGUUCAAAUCCCACCCUCUCCGCCA
RNAcentral lists this transfer RNA (90 nucleotides) under Anaeromyxobacter sp. Fw109-5. Its description in RNAcentral is "tRNA-Ser (GGA) (tRNA-Ser-GGA-1-1)". It matches the Rfam family "tRNA". From Rfam's summary of the family: Transfer RNA (tRNA) molecules are approximately 80 nucleotides in length. RNAcentral also lists the same sequence under 9 other names. The record is from RNAcentral. Lineage: Bacteria; Pseudomonadati; Myxococcota; Myxococcia; Myxococcales; Anaeromyxobacteraceae.